CUGAAAGCAAAGGCUCCUUUUGUAAAGAGGUGGUGGCAAGUUUGUCUUUAGCCAUGAAGAUGGAGAGAAAUCAGAUAGAACACCUGGUGAAGUGGGUAGUUCUGUAGUUUGUUUGCCCCAGAAAAAUGCCUUAUCAGUUUAUAAAGAUAAAAAUUGUUUAGAAAUGCAUGGCUUUGUUUUAGUGGAAUAAUGUUGCACACUAGAUUAAUUAGACAAUGCAAGCUUUGUAGGAGAGCUAAGGUUAUAGAAAGUUAAAUGUAAAGGAAUUAACCAUAUGUUUUUCAAGCAUUAUUAUAGUUCUUACUUUUUAAAAUAUUUUGGCAGUGAUAAGUCUGAAGCAGAAUUAAACUUGAGGUUGCAGAUGAGAA
Molecule: long non-coding RNA, 368 nt
Filed under: Bos taurus (domestic cattle)
Lineage: Eukaryota; Metazoa; Chordata; Mammalia; Artiodactyla; Bovidae
Description: long non-coding RNA NONBTAT018255
Source: RNAcentral